UAUCCAAAAACUCAUGAGAGUGCUCUUCACGACCGAAAGAGCAAGAGAGGAUAAUUCAGGAAGCCAGAAAGAAUGCUCCCUCAGACAAAGGGGCACCAUUGAUUGACCAGGCUGUCCUCGACAGUGGGUUUUUCCUGACGAGACCUGACUGGGACUUUAAUAUGGCAAAAGGAUUAUCUGAAUAGCCAUAUUGCAGCGUCUUCUUUCCCAAGAGUAAUUGUGCCUGCCAACUGCCGUGCCACCUCACCAUUUGGAGAGCAUUGCAGCAUGUUGUGAGCUAGAGGUAAGAAGUUCCCCAAGACUCCAUGUGAGAGCUAGAAACCCAGGAGAGCCAGCUCUGCAAUAGUGAAAGUGUGAAGGCGGGAGAGUCAGGAUUGCCAGUGUCUGAUGGAUGUGAUGGCUAAUCUCACUGCCAGCUCUGUAGGCCCUGAAAUCAUGGAGGAGACACACAGCUGUGCAUGUCUUUGAGGUUUAAGAGGCAGAGGAAUAUCUACCCUCAAUCCAGGCUCCAGUCUGCCACCCAGGUCUCGGUGAGACACUGAUACUUCUGGUCCUGCUGUCAAGAGCUUCCAGCACUUCUGAGACACCAGAUCUUGGGUUCAGACUCCAUCUUAGAGAGCAUAACUUAAGGUUGAACCCAAGUUAACUAACAAGUCAGCACCUAGCACCAGCUUCUAGGCCACCAUUCAACAAGCCAGCAUCUAGAACCAGUUUCCAGGUUACUCCCCAACAAACCUGUACUAGUUUCCAGGUUACAAGCCUGCCCCUGGCACUUUAUUUUCUAACCAACGCCAAUAAGGAAGAAAGCAGAAGUUAUGUUUAUGGUUUGGCUUCUAGCACCAGCCAAUUAUGUUAAAGGACAACAAAAUUCCAUAAUAGCACCUCCCAAUCAGAUGUGUGCUAAUCUAGAAACCCCCUCGCUUGUUUGCCAUUUCCUUUAAAACUUUGUUCUGCUGAGAGCUUGGGGCUCCAUCAGAUAUGGUAGUGUAGCCCAAGCUCAAGCUUGAAUAAAGAGACCCUAGUGAGAUUGCAUUGGAAUCAGCUCCUUGGUGGUCUUUUGGGGUUCAUGGAAUGGGCACAUUCCUUCAUCACAGCUUGAGGUGCUAUGUGAUGGAAUUUUUCCAUUUGUUGCGUUAGUUUCUGGUCCUGAAGUUAACGGCUAGCACUUCAUCACAGUUUGUGAUGCUCAGACAGAGAUCAACAUAUGCUUGUUGAGCAGAUUGUUGAAAAAAAUCCAACUAAUGUCCAGAUUACAAAACCUUGGCAGAAAGAAGAAAGCCUUCAUUCUUUAAAUAAUAUUUGUACUAAUAAUCUGUAGGCCAUUUGGUAUAAGGUGUUCAAAGUAUUUGUUGAAGCAACUGACUGAAAAGAGAAAAAAAAUGAAAAUCAAAAUUCUGUAUCUUGUAUAUUUCCACCAAAGAACCAUUGUUGAUGUAAAAGUUUUUCUCUAUUGCCUUCAGUAAAUUCUUAAUUUGAUUUUGUAAAGAAACUCUGCAUUCAGACUCAUUAACAUCGUGAAAGAAUAAUUUGCAAACCAGUCUUUCCCCAUUCCUUUCAUUUGGCUUUUUAAGGAAGAUAGAUUUUGGGGAGCAUUUCUUUGUAGUGUGAGAGAUGUAGGGUAUAGAUAAGAGCAGGUGGUCUGCACAGGAGCAAAGAGAUGUGGAUGUGAGGGUAUGUGAGAGGGACCCUCAUCACACCCUUCAUUUCCUUAAGUGUGUGUGGCUGCCACCCAACGACAUGUGUUUGGUUUGGUUUACUUCUUGUGUUCUUCUAGGGUCUAUAGUCUACCUCUUUCUUGGUAAUUUUGUGUUUUACUCCACAGGCCGACGGAGAUCUGAUUCUGACUCCUUUUGCUCCUGACUUGUCCUUGAUGGCAUGAGAUCCUUUGGCAUCUCCAUCACACUCUCCAUUUAGCCAGGGCCAAGAAGACUUGCCCUGCAACUGCACUGGGACAGGCCAGUUUCCUCACCUAUGGGUCUUCAUCUCAGCAUCUCAUAGGAACGGGGAGAGAGAGAGGAAGGGAGGGAGAGAGGGAG
This is a long non-coding RNA of Mus musculus (house mouse), 2036 nucleotides long. RefSeq annotates it as predicted gene 9725. The record is from RefSeq and is a predicted model, not a curated record. The transcript has 5 exons. NCBI's taxonomy places the organism in Eukaryota, Metazoa, Chordata, Mammalia, Rodentia, Muridae.